Long non-coding RNA from Cajanus cajan (pigeon pea), 3581 nucleotides. RefSeq lists it as uncharacterized. The record is from RefSeq and is a predicted model, not a curated record. NCBI's taxonomy places the organism in Eukaryota, Viridiplantae, Streptophyta, Magnoliopsida, Fabales, Fabaceae.
CUUCUUCAAGCAAUACUGGCACCAAGUGAGGAAAGUUGUCAUGGGUAUGAAAACCUUCACAACACCUGGUCCUGAUGGCUUCCCGUCGUUCCUCUUCAAGCAAUACUGGCACUUGAUUGGCAAAGAUCUUUGGGGCAUGGUGCGAGAUGCAUUCAGUAAUGGUAAUGCUGAUCCAAGGCUAUUAGACACUCUAAUCACCUUAAUCCCUAAAGUGACAACCCAACAACGUUGAAGGAGUUUCGCCCCAUCAACUUAUGCAAUGUUGCUUAUAAAGUGAUCUCGAAAGUCCUCGUGAACAGAAUGAGACCACUCCUACAAGAUAUUAUUAGCCCCUUCCAAGGUAGCUUCCUACCUGGCCGAGGUACGAAAGGCAACUCCAUUCUUGCUCAGGAAGUCCUUCAUCACGUCAAUCGCAACACCAGCAAGGUGGGGUUGGUCGCAAUCAAAGUGGACCUAGAAAAAGCGUACGAUCGUGUCAAUUGGGAAUUCCUACGUCAAACCCUGCUAGAUUUCAGAUUUCCCGUUAGAAUCAUUAAUCUGAUUAUGUGGGGAGUCCGUGAGACUUCUCUAACUAUCCUUUGGAAUGGUUCAAAGCUAGACCACUUUCACCCAUCUCGAGGUCUUCGUCAGGGCGAUCCUCUGUCGCCAUAUUUGUUUGUGCUAUGCAUGGAAAAGCUGAGUUUACAGAUUAAUCAUAGGGUCAUGAAGGGGGAGUGGCUCCCGAUCACUCUUUCACGUGGUGGUCCUCCCCUCUCUCAUUUACUAUUUGCAGACGAUGUCCUUUUGUUUGGAAAAGCAUCCACUGAUCAAAUGUAGAUAAUAGCAGCUACUCUACAGGCGUUUUGCAUGGAAUCGGGCCUCAAGAUCAAUUUGGGUAAGUCUAGGUUCCUUUGCUCGAAGGGAGUCAGCCAUGGACGAAAGGAGGAUCUAAAGGUGAGCUUAGGUAUAUGCCACACCAACAACCUUGGCUUGUACCUAGGGUUUCGAACACCACGGGGAAGAGUGACAUCCACAGAGUUCAACCACUUGGUGACACAAAUACAGGGUCGGCUAGCAUCUAGGAAAGGUAAGCUUCUAAAGAAAGUUGGUCGCCUUUGCUUAGCAAAAUCCGUAUUAGCUGCUAUCCCGAAGUAUACAAUGCAACUUUUCUGGUUGCCACAAAAUAUAUGUGAUACCAUUGAUAGAUUGUGCAAAGCCUUGCUUUGGUCAACGUCGGGAUCUACCAGGUGUGGAACAUCUUUAGUUGGAAAGAAAUUAUAAAACCAAAAUCCGAGGGUGGCUUAGGCAUGAGAGAUACUAGAGCUGCGAAUAUAUCCUUACUGGGAAGCCUUGUUUGGGAUCUUUUGCAGACUACUGAUAAGCCUUGGGUGCAGGUUCUUACACAUAAAUAUCUCCAACAAGGCUCCAUUUUGAAUCACUCCCCUCCCCCUGGAGCUUCCUAUGUGUGGCGCAGCAUUAACAAAGCUGCUUUGGCCUUACAGGCAUCUUUUGGGCCUCGCCUAGGCACGGGACAAUCACAAUUUUGGUACGCAAAUUGGCUUGGGACCGGCCCUCUAUGCCAACAGGUGUCUUUUAUGGAUAUACACGAUUCCCAGCUACGAUUACUCGAGCUUUAGGACCCAGAUGGUUGGCAACUACAACGUCUACACACGUGCUUGCCUCAACAUCUUGUGGAGCGAAUUCAACAAAUCACAAUCCUUGAGAAUCAGGUGGGCGACGAUAGAAUUGCUUGGUUUGGAAGUAACAAUGGAGUGUUUUCUGCAUUGUCAGGUUACCAUUAUAUCCUAGGCCACGGUAAUCCUACAGAUAGGAUUUGGAGAAAGCUUUGGAAGCUACCAAUCCCUGAAAAACUAAAGUUUUUUCUUUGGCAAGUUUUGCAAGAUGCUCUUCCCACGAACCACAAAAGAUUUACGUGCCAACUGGCUCUGUCUCCAGCUUGCACGCGUUGCUCUGCGAUUGAAGAGACCACCCUUCACGUGCUCCGCGAUUGCCCACAUUCGAGGGAACUAUGGUAUCGGAUGGGCAUUGCUUCUACGACAAUGAUGUCAACUCUCAACCUACAUCCUUGGCUUUGGCAUAUUUUCAAUCAUGAAAAGCGACUUUUGAUCUUAUCUACACUUUGGUGCAACUGGAAAUGGCGAAAUACCCAGGUAAUCGCCAACACCUCCUGGAGUGUCACGUAUGUUAGUCAACUAGUUCGACGACAGAAGCUUGAGUGUCAUCUUUAUUGCUCAAAAACACCCCAGGAGCAAGAUGGUUACUGGGCCCCUCCUGGCCAGGGAGACGUGAAACUUAAUGUGGAUGGCUCUUGCUCUAACCAAAAGUCAAUGGGUGGCGGAGGUGUUCUCCGGGGUGGCCGUGGAGAUUGGCAAUUUGGAUUCUCCACAUGCUAUGGCCAAGGCAGUCCUUUUCUCGCAGAAAUUCUGGCAAUAAGGGAUGGACUGAUGCAUGCUUGGAGGUUGGGGUAUAGAAAUAUAACCUGAGACAAUGACUAUAUGGAAGCAGUAGAUGCAAUCAAUAUUUCUUAUAUGAGAGAGCUAUCACUGCAUGCGCAUAAGGAUAAACUUUUGCAAAUACAAAAUAUUUUAAAGAAGCACUGGAGAGUGAAAAUCGUGCAUAUCCCUCGGGAGUGGAAUACAGUGUCGGAUUGCUUGGCUCAUGAAGGGGCCAAUGGUUUGAUUAAAGAAUUCAUUACUCCUCCACCCCUAGCCCUUGAAGCUUUCCUUCAAGAUCUAGCGAAUGUAGGCUAGUUAGUUACAUACUGUUUUUUUUCUUAUUUUCCUUUCUCUACCAAAAAAAAAAACAUGCACAAAGAAAGUUUGCCCUUUAUGACAUGGGAUUGUGCUGGUUCUCUCUUUUGCGUCUACAACAACGAUGCCAAUGCUUUUUUUAUGCAGAAGACAUUUUUAUGUCACUGUAGAUAACAUCGUUAGAAGAGUCUUUGUAAAUCUAGUAUGAGAAAAGCACAAGCUUUAAGCCUCCAAUUUCAAUUGUCAUUGGUGAUGAAAGCUGCCACCCCAUGGCUCUCGGACAUGCUUUGGCAAAGGAGCUGUUGAGUAUGAGAGAUCACUUUAAAUUGGUGACCCCGAAUUCAAGUGGAAACCUCCUCAAGAUGAGUGGCAGAGCAUUACUUUGGGUUGCACAUCUAGUACUACUGCUAGUCCUGAUGGUGUGGUGUUAUACUACCGUUUGGGGGUCUGCGUACACGUGUUCGCUUUGGGUUUUCUAAACCAAAUGGCAAAUGGUCUUGUAAAAGACAACAUCUACGUGUGUGGAAGGUGUUGCUGUAGUUUCUGAUCAUUGGAUAUGAUGCUUCUGCAACAUACAAAAAGGAACAAGAAGGUUUUUCCCAAGAGGAAUUGCUCGAGAGAAAUGCUUUAACAGCUAAAAAGUUCACUCAAUUAUCAAAUGGAAAGAGGUCUUAUGAUCAGGGAGGGUGACAUGGACACAUUGCAGGGAACACAUGUACAAACUAAAAGCUGCAAAUGCUAAGGGAAUCUGUUUAAGGCGAUCUAGGCAAAGGAGGAUUAUGACACACAGGACCAUGUUGCUGCAUUUUUGGUACAAUUUUUUUUUUUUUU